RNAcentral lists this ribosomal RNA (497 nucleotides) under uncultured bacterium. RNAcentral describes it as "partial 16S ribosomal RNA". It matches the Rfam family "Bacterial small subunit ribosomal RNA", at positions 28 to 507 of the family's 1533-position model. The record is from RNAcentral.
GAUGAACGCUGGCGGCGUGCCUAAUACAUGCAAGUCGAGCGAACGGACGAGAAGCUUGCUUUUCUGAUGUUAGCGGCGGACGGGUGAGUAACACGUGGAUAACCUACCUAUAAGACUGGGAUAACUUCGGGAAACCGGAGCUAAUACCGGAUAAUAUUUUGAACCGCAUGGUUCAAAAGUGAAAGACGGUCUUGCUGUCACUUAUAGAUGGAUCCGCGCUGCAUUAGCUAGUUGGUAAGGUAACGGCUUACCAAGGCAACAAUGCAUAGCCGACCUGAGAGGGUGAUCGGCCACACUGGAACUGAGACACGGUCCAGACUCCUACGGGAGGCAGCAGUAGGGAAUCUUCCGCAAUGGGCGAAAGCCUGACGGAGCAACGCCGCGUGAGUGAUGAAGGUCUUCGGAUCGUAAAGCUCUGUUAGUAGGGAAGAACAUAUGUGUAAGUAACUGUGCACAUCUUGACGGUACCUAAUCAGAAAGCCACGGCUAACUACGUG